RNAcentral lists this ribosomal RNA (406 nucleotides) under uncultured Glomus. RNAcentral's name for it is "SSU rRNA". It matches the Rfam family "Eukaryotic small subunit ribosomal RNA", at positions 569 to 978 of the family's 1831-position model. Lineage: Eukaryota; Fungi; Glomeromycota; Glomeromycetes; Glomerales; Glomeraceae. The record is from RNAcentral.
AGCAGCCGCGGUAAUUCCAGCUCCAAUAGCGUAUAUUAAAGUUGUUGCAGUUAAAAAGCUCGUAGUUGAAUUUCGGGAUCAACACGUCGGUCGUGCCUCCGGUAUGUACUGGUGUCGUUGAUUUCUCCUUUCUGAGGAACCACGAUGUCAUUAAUUUGGUGUGGUGGGAAAUCAGGACUGUUACUUUGAAAAAUUAGAAGUGUUUAAAGCAGGCACACGCUUGAAUACAUUAGCAUGGAAUAAUGAAAUAGGACGUUCGAACCUAUUUUGUUGGUUUCUAGGAUCAACGUAAUGACUAAUAGGGAUAGUUGGGGGCAUUAGUAUUCAAUUGUCAGAGGUGAAAUUCUUGGAUUUAUUGAAGACUAACUACUGCGAAAAGCAUUUGCCAAGGAUGUUUUCAUUAAUC